UUUUCAGACGUUUCUAAGGCGUGGCUUCAAUGUUUGUUUUCAAAAUUACAACAGUACAAUGGUUAAAUUUUGAAAAUAAACGUUGAAGCCACGCCUUAGAAAUGUCUGAAACAUC
RNAcentral lists this microRNA precursor (115 nucleotides) under Paramuricea clavata. Lineage: Eukaryota; Metazoa; Cnidaria; Anthozoa; Malacalcyonacea; Plexauridae. The record is from RNAcentral.